This is a non-coding RNA of Trichobilharzia regenti, 48 nucleotides long. The record is from Rfam. NCBI's taxonomy places the organism in Eukaryota, Metazoa, Platyhelminthes, Trematoda, Strigeidida, Schistosomatidae.
AUCCGGAUGACGAGUCCCAAACAGGACGAAAUACUCGUUGUCCUGAAU